AUUGCACGCUGGCGGCAGGCCUAACACAUGCAAGUCGAACGAGUGGCGGACGGGUGAGUAAUGUCUGGGAAACUGCCUGAUGGAGGGGGAUAACUACUGGAAACGGUAGCUAAUACCGCAUACCAUCGGAUGUGCCCAGAUGGGAUUAGCUAGUAGGUGGGGUAACGGCUCACCUAGGCGACGAUCCCUAGCUGGUCUGAGAGGAUGACCGGCCAAACUGGAACGAUGACACGGUCCAGACGCCUACGGGAGGCAGAAGUGGGGAAUAUUGCACAAUGGGGGCAAGCCUGAGUCAGCCAUGCCGCGUGUAUUAAGAAGGCCUUCGGGUUGUAAAGUACUUUCAGCGGGGAGGCGUUACCUGCAGAAGAAGCACCGGCUAACUCCGUGCCAGCAGCCGCGGUAUUC
RNAcentral lists this ribosomal RNA (405 nucleotides) under uncultured bacterium. RNAcentral describes it as "partial 16S ribosomal RNA". It matches the Rfam family "Bacterial small subunit ribosomal RNA", at positions 30 to 525 of the family's 1533-position model. The record is from RNAcentral.